Molecule: long non-coding RNA, 619 nt
Filed under: Vigna radiata
Lineage: Eukaryota; Viridiplantae; Streptophyta; Magnoliopsida; Fabales; Fabaceae
Description: long non-coding RNA (VRAD_LNC000187)
Source: RNAcentral
UGGCAAGUUAUCAGAAGCAGUACGAGGAUCAGGGUCGCAAGAUCGACGAGUAUGGAAACGUCGUAAGGGAAACUGAUGAAUAUGGCAACCCGGUUCAGGCUGCCAGUGUCACCUAUAUAACCUCCUCCACCGGCGGUGUUAGGGAUGACAAUAGCAAGCAACAUGAUACCAGUAAUGUCUACGGAUCAGACACCCGUAAACAACAUGGAACUAUAGGUGAUACCGGUAGACAGCAAGGACCAACCGCUGGCUUUACUGCUGACACUGGUAGACAACAUGGAACUACCGGUGGUUUUACUGGUGACACCCAUAGACAAUAUGGCACUACCGGUGGUUUGACCGGUGACACCGGGAGACAACAUGGGACUACCGGUGGUUUUACUGGUGACACCCGGAGACAACAUGACACCGGGAGACAACAUGGGACUACCGGUGGUUUUGCUGGUGAUACCGGGAGACAACAUGGGAAUACCGGCGGCUUCACUGCUGACACUGGUCUGGGAGGCCCUUACGUUGGAGCCAACACCGCUGACACAGGGACUGGUCCUAGAAGUGGAACCACAGGUGGCAGCGGCUAUGGAUCGGGUGGUGGCGCAGGUGGUGGUUAUGGAAGUGGAAC